CCAGACUCCUACGGGAGGCAGCAGUGGGGGAUAUUGGACAAUGGGGGGAACCCUGAUCCAGCGACGCCGCGUGAGUGAAGAAGUAUUUCGGUAUGUAAAGCCCUAUCAGCAGGGAAGAAGAUGACAGUACCUGACUAAGAAGCCCCGGCUAACUACGUGCCAGCAGCCGCGGUAAUACGUAGGGGGCAAGCGUUAUCCGGAUUUACUGGGUGUAAAGGGAGCGUAGGUGGCAUGGCAAGCCAGAAGUGAAAACCCGGGGCUUAACCCCGCGGAUUGCUUUUGGAACUGUCAGGCUGGAGUGCAGGAGGGGCAGGCGGAAUUCCUGGUGUAGCGGUGAAAUGCGUAGAUAUCAGGAGGAACACCGGUGGCGAAGGCGGCCUGCUGGACUGUAACUGACACUGAGGCUCGAAAGCGUGGGGAGCAAACAGGAUUAGAUACCCGGGUA
Molecule: ribosomal RNA, 445 nt
Filed under: uncultured bacterium
Lineage: Bacteria
Description: bacterial SSU rRNA
Rfam family: Bacterial small subunit ribosomal RNA
Source: RNAcentral